Molecule: ribosomal RNA, 465 nt
Filed under: uncultured bacterium
Lineage: Bacteria
Description: partial 16S ribosomal RNA
Rfam family: Bacterial small subunit ribosomal RNA
Source: RNAcentral
CCUACGGGUGGCAGCAGUGGGGAAUAUUGCGCAAUGGGCGAAAGCCUGACGCAGCGACGCCGCGUGGGGGAUGAAGGUCUUCGGAUCGUAAACCUCUGUCAGCAGGGAAGAACGGUCACUGUGCUAAUCAGCAGUGAAUUGACGGUACCUGCAAAGGAAGCACCGGCUAACUCCGUGCCAGCAGCCGCGGGAAUACGGAGGGUGCGAGCGUUAAUCGGAAUUACUGGGCGUAAAGCGCUCGUAGGCGGUAUGUCAAGCCAAGGGUGAAAUCCCCGCGCUCAACGUGGGAACUGCCUUUGAAACUGGCAGACUGGAGGGUGUGAGAGGAUAGUGGAAUUCCAGGUGUAGGAGUGAAAUCCGUAGAUAUCAGGAGGAACAUCAGUGGCGAAGGCGACUAUCUGGCACAUAACUGACGCUGAGGAGCGAAAGCGUGGGUAGCAAACAGGAUUAGAUACCCGGGUAGUC